This 239-nucleotide long non-coding RNA is filed under the name Lathyrus oleraceus (garden pea). Its description in RNAcentral is "Pisum sativum (pea) long non-coding RNA (PSAT_LNC003781)". Lineage: Eukaryota; Viridiplantae; Streptophyta; Magnoliopsida; Fabales; Fabaceae. The record is from RNAcentral.
AACAAUGUUCCUUGAAGACAAAUCAAAUUGAUAGCACCAGAAGUAGCCUUAGUUGUCACAUCCUGAUCAUCAUCUGAAGAUGAAUCCUUAGCAGCUUUAGGUGCUUUUGCUAUAAUAGGAGCCGCAGCGAGAGCUUUAGGCUUAGAGAAAUCCAAAGGAAUAAGCACCUUAUCAACAUGAUAUAUAGCAAGUGUUUUGUCAGAAUAAACAAUCCCUGUGAGUGUAGCAUUAACAGACCC